CUUAGCGUUGCUAAGGCCGAUGGCGACCGGCGCACGGGUGAGUAACACGUAUCCAACCUGCCGUCUACUCUUGGACAGCCUUCUGAAAGGAAGAUUAAUACAAGAUGGCAUCAUGAGUCCGCAUGUUCACAUGAUUAAAGGUAUUCCGGUAGACGAUGGGGAUGCGUUCCAUUAGAUAGUAGGCGGGGUAACGGCCCACCUAGUCUUCGAUGGAUAGGGGUUCUGAGAGGAAGGUCCCCCACAUUGGAACUGAGACACGGUCCAAACUCCUACGGGAGGCAGCAGUGAGGAAUAUUGGUCAAUGGGCGAGAGCCUGAACCAGCCAAGUAGCGUGAAGGAUGACUGCCCUAUGGGUUGGAAACUUCUUUUAUAAAGGAAUAAAGUCGGGUAUGGAUACCCGUUUGCAUGUACUUUAUGAAUGAGGAUCGGCUAACUCCGUGCCAGCAGCCGCGGUAAUACGGAGGAUCCGAGCGUUAUCCGGAUUUAUUGCGUUCAAAGGGAGCGUAGAUGGAUGUCUAAGUCAGUUGUGAAAGUUUGCGGCUCAACCGUACUAUUGCAGUUGAUACUGGAUAUCUUGAGUGCAGUUGAGGCAGGCGGAAUUCGUGGUGUAGCGGUGAAAUGCUUAGAUAUCACGAAGAACUCCGAUUGCGAAGGCAGCCUGCUAAGCUGCAACUGACAUUGAGGCUCGAAAGUGUGGGUAUCAAACAGGAUUAGAUACCCUGGUAGUCCACACGGUAAACGAUGAAUACUCGCUGUUUGCGAUAUACAGCAAGCGGCCAAGCGAAAGCGUUAAGUAUUCCACCUGGGGAGUACGCCGGCAACGGUGAAACUCAAAGGAAUUGACGGGGGCCCGCACAAGCGGAGGAACAUGUGGUUUAAUUCGAUGAUACGCGAGGAACCUUACCCGGGCUUAAAUUGCAGAUGAAUUACGGUGAAAGCCGUAAGCCGCAAGGCAUCUGUGAAGGUGCUGCAUGGUUGUCGUCAGCUCGUGCCGUGAGGUGUCGGCUUAAGUGCCAUAACGAGCGCAACCCUUGUUGUCAGUUACUAACAGGUUCCGCUGAGGACUCUGACAAGACUGCCAUCGUAAGAUGUGAGGAAGGUGGGGAUGACGUCAAAUCAGCACGGCCCUUACGUCCGGGGCUACACACGUGUUACAAUGGGGGGUACAGAGGGCCGCUACCACGCGAGUGGAUGCCAAUCCCCAAAACCUCUCUCAGUUCGGACUGGAGUCUGCAACCCGACUCCACGAAGCUGGAUUCGCUAGUAAUCGCGCAUCAGCCACGGCGCGGUGAAUACGUUCCCGGGCCUUGUACACAC
Molecule: ribosomal RNA, 1317 nt
Filed under: uncultured bacterium
Lineage: Bacteria
Description: bacterial SSU rRNA
Rfam family: Bacterial small subunit ribosomal RNA
Source: RNAcentral